UAAUAACCUCGUUAGGUGAGGCUCCUAUAUGGAGAUAUGCUGCUGCCCAGAAAUUUCGAAAGACGCCAAUGGGUCAACAGGAACCAUCGAAUUAAGGUGGUUUUUAAUGUAGCUGGAUGAACGUUAUCCUAUGCCAUAUAGUGCUAAAGCUCAACGAUUUGAGUCUUAUU
Molecule: small RNA, 170 nt
Filed under: Bacillus sp. (in: firmicutes)
Lineage: Bacteria; Bacillati; Bacillota; Bacilli; Caryophanales; Bacillaceae
Also listed under: 1 other name
Description: Bacillus sp. Magnesium sequence
Rfam family: M-box riboswitch aptamer (ykoK leader)
About the family: M-box riboswitch, also know as ykoK leader is described as a metaloregulatory RNA that sense divalent metals and function as a genetic control element of genes related to divalent metal transport in bacteria. It was first reported upstream of the B.subtilis ykoK gene and genes with related functions in other bacteria.
Source: RNAcentral